GACGAACGCUGGCGGCGUGCUUAACACAUGCAAGUCGAACGGAAAGGCCCUGCUUUUGUGGGGUGCUCGAGUGGCGAACGGGUGAGUAACACGUGAGUAACCUGCCCUUGACUUUGGGAUAACUUCAGGAAACUGGGGCUAAUACCGUAUAGGAGCUCCUGCUGCAUGGUGGGGGUUGGAAAGUUUCGGCGGUUGGGGAUGGACUCGCGGCUUAUCAGCUUGUUGGUGGGGUAGUGGCUUACCCAGGCUUUGACGGGUAGCCGGCCUGAGAGGGUGACCGGCGACAUUGGGACUGAGAUACGGACCAGUCGGGAAUGGGAGGCAGCAGUGGCGAAUCUUGCACAGUGGGCGCGAGCCUGAUGAAGAGACGUUGCGUGCGGGAAGACGGCUUGCGGGUUGUGAACAGCUUCAGGUUGUGACGAAGCGUUAGUGACGGUAAUGGGUAAAGAAGCACCGGCUAACUACGUG
Molecule: ribosomal RNA, 468 nt
Filed under: uncultured bacterium
Lineage: Bacteria
Description: partial 16S ribosomal RNA
Rfam family: Bacterial small subunit ribosomal RNA
Source: RNAcentral